Molecule: ribosomal RNA, 888 nt
Filed under: uncultured bacterium
Lineage: Bacteria
Description: bacterial SSU rRNA
Rfam family: Bacterial small subunit ribosomal RNA
Source: RNAcentral
CGACGGGACUAUUUUGGGAGAAGUUUUCGGAUGGAUCUCGGGAUAGCUUAGUGGCGGACGGGUGAGUAACACGUGAGCAACCUGCCUUCGAGAGGGGAAUAACGGCUGGAAACGGUCGCUAAUACCGCAUAACAUACUGGAGGGACAUCCCUUUGGUAUCAAAGAUUAUAUCGCUCGGAGAUGGGCUCGCGUCCGAUUAGGUAGUUGGUGAGGUAACGGCUCACCAAGCCGACGAUCGGUAGCCGGACUGAGAGGUCGAACGGCCACAUUGGGACUGAGACACGGCCCAGACUCCUACGGGAGGCAGCAGUGGGGGAUAUUGCACAAUGGGGGAAACCCUGAUGCAGCGACGCCGCGUGUGGGAAGACGGUCCUCUGGAUUGUAAACCACUGUCCCCAGGGACGAAGAUGACGGUACCUGGGGAGGAAGCUCCGGCUAACUACGUGCCAGCAGCCGCGGUAAUACGUAGGGAGCGAGCGUUGUCCGGAAUUACUGGGUGUAAAGGGAGCGUAGGCGGGACUGCAAGUUGGGUGUCAAAUCUACCGGCUCAACCGGUAGCCGCACUCAAGACUGCAGUUCUUGAGUGAAGUAGAGGCAGGCGGAAUUCCUAGUGUAGCGGUGAAAUGCGUAGAUAUUAGGAGGAACACCAGUGGCGAAGGCGGCCUGCUGGGCUUUUACUGACGCUGAGGCUCGAAAGUGUGGGGAGCAAACAGGAUUAGAUACCCUGGUAGUCCACACCGUAAACGAUGAUCACUAGGUGUGGGGGGUCUGACCCCUUCCGUGCCGGAGUUAACACAAUAAGUGAUCCACCUGGGGAGUACGGCCGCAAGGUUGAAACUCAAAGGAAUUGACGGGGGCCCGCACAAGCAGUGGAGUAUGUGGUUUAAU